This is a long non-coding RNA of Coffea arabica (coffee), 917 nucleotides long. RefSeq lists it as uncharacterized. Lineage: Eukaryota; Viridiplantae; Streptophyta; Magnoliopsida; Gentianales; Rubiaceae. The record is from RefSeq and is a predicted model, not a curated record.
UUCCCAGUUUUGCCGGUAUUCAGCAGACGAGCAAAGAAAAUCUAGGCGAGCAAAGAAAAUAUAGGUAUGUUUCUAUUUUAUCACCUUCUAUUUUGAACUGCAAGUUUUUUUUUCACUGUUGUUGCCUCUGUUUAUUGCUUUCUCUUAAUUAAGGAAUGCAAUGUGUUUGAUGUUAUGCUAUGAUAGUUUACUUUUCCCUCUGUUUUUUAUUUCAAAUGUUGCAUGAUGCUGUUAGCUGCUUAUCUAUUCAAUAAUUACAUCAUUUAGUAUCAUUGUCCUUUGGCUUAUUAAGGUUGUCAUUUUAUAUCUAUUACUUAGUUUUAGCUAUUUUAGGAUGCUUUGAUUCUGUCAUUUUGUGUGCCUUUGGAUUAGCAUUUUGCUUUGUUUAUAGUCAAAUUAGAUUUUGAUUUUUUGUGUUUCAAAAUGAAAAAAAAAAGAAAAUUUAGUACAGGUUUUAGAUUGAUAGAUGAAAUGUUUGAUGAUUCCCCUGAUCUAAGAAUGUUGGAAAGAAACAAAAAGACAAACUUAAAUAUGCUGACUUAAAUAAGCUUCAAUUGUUCACACCAAGCACAAAGUUGGUACUUGAAGAAAUUGCUGGAGCCAGUUCUUACAAAGACAGCCAGACAUCUGCAACCAGUGGAGCAAAACGAAGCCUUGAGUUUCCAGAAGAUUUACCAGCAGACACACAUGCUAAACAUCCAACAAAGGCUCCUGAAGAGUUUGCCAAAGAACUUGCAAAACUGUAUGGUCCACCUGCAAAUAUCAAAGACAGUCCAACCAAGAAAGCUAAAGCAAAGGAAGACUAAUAUGGCCUAUUUCUGUACUUUUGUUAAAUCUUUUGUUCAUUGCCUUUCCUCCAUUGCUUAGACAAUAUCUUUUGAAUUAUAUUAUGAUCCAUUAUUCUUUUGACUUAAAAA